GAUGAACGCUGGCGGCGUGCCUAAUACAUGCAAGUCGAGCGAACAGAUAAGGAGCUUGCUCCUUUGACGUUAGCGGCGGACGGGUGAGUAACACGUGGGUAACCUACCUAUAAGACUGGGAUAACUUCGGGAAACCGGAGAUAAUACCGGAUAACAUUUGGAACCGCAUGGUUCUAAAGUGAAAGAUGGUUUUGCUAUCACUUAUAGAUGGACCCGCGCCGUAUUAGCUAGUUGGUAAGGUAACGGCUUACCAAGGCGACGAUACGUAGCCGAACUGAGAGGGUGAUCGGCCACACUGGAACGGAGACACGGUCCAGACUCCUACGGGAGGCACCAGUAGGGAAUCUUCCGCAAUGGGCGAAAGCCUUACGGAGCAACGCCGCGUGAGUGAUGAAGGGUUUCGGCUCGUAAAACUCGGUUAUUGGGGAAGAACAAACGUGUAAGUAACUGUGCACGUCUUGACGGUACCUAAUCAGAAAGCCACGGCUAACUACGUG
RNAcentral lists this ribosomal RNA (497 nucleotides) under uncultured bacterium. RNAcentral describes it as "partial 16S ribosomal RNA". It matches the Rfam family "Bacterial small subunit ribosomal RNA", at positions 28 to 507 of the family's 1533-position model. The record is from RNAcentral.